GAUGGAUAGGGGUUCUGAGAGGAAGGUCCCCCACAUUGGUACUGAGACACGGACCAAACUCCUACGGGAGGCAGCAGUGAGGAAUAUUGGUCAAUGGCCGAGAGGCUGAACCAGCCAAGUCGCGUGAAGGAAGAAGGAUCUAUGGUUUGUAAACUUCUUUUAUAGGGGAAUAAAGUGGAGGACGUGUCCUUUUUUGUAUGUACCCUAUGAAUAAGCAUCGGCUAACUCCGUGCCAGCAGCCGCGGUAAUACGGAGGAUGCGAGCGUUAUCCGGAUUUAUUGGGUUUAAAGGGUGCGUAGGUGGUGAUUUAAGUCAGCGGUGAAAGUUUGUGGCUCAACCAUAAAAUUGCCGUUGAAACUGGGUUACUUGAGUGUGUUUGAGGUAGGCGGAAUGCGUGGUGUAGCGGUGAAAUGCAUAGAUAUCACGCAGAAC
RNAcentral lists this ribosomal RNA (432 nucleotides) under uncultured Bacteroidales bacterium. RNAcentral's name for it is "bacterial SSU rRNA". It matches the Rfam family "Bacterial small subunit ribosomal RNA", at positions 278 to 707 of the family's 1533-position model. The record is from RNAcentral. Lineage: Bacteria; Pseudomonadati; Bacteroidota; Bacteroidia; Bacteroidales.